AGUUAGUUUUACAUUAGUAGAUAUAGAUGUAUUCAAAUUUCCUUCAUCUUCCUAAUAUCAAUUCCUUUUUUAAGGUUUUUAAACAAACAAAAAGUAAAUAUAUAUUAAAACAUAUGAAUUAUAUGCCUCUACGGUUAGGUCAAUUAACCGGCAGUUUUAAAAAACUGGUCCUGAACCAAAAACAGAAAAAUUCCUGAAGCUUGUACAGAUACCAUGCCAAGCUAGGCCAGUUAACUGAACUGAUCAUUUUGGUUUUUCAGUUUUUUCCAUCUUGUUUCUCCACCCCUAGUACCACGUGUAUCCUUCUACUGAUGACAUGUAUCCACAUCUGUCACUUUUUGAGCUGUUAUGGAGUUUUUUUAAUAGUUCAAAAACUUGAUUGAGAAUCAUUAUAAGUGGGAGGACUUUUAAGGUAUUUAAACUUUUUUAAAAAAAGAAUUGUUUAAUUUGGAAAUUUCCUGAAGCAGACUAAGGUAGAAAUGUUGAGUGCUUAUGGGAAGUUAAAAAAAUAACACAAAUUUUGUAUUUAAGGUUCUAUUUAGAGAAAGUAAUAAUAUUUGCUAUUUACCAAAAUAUGGUGAUGAUGUGAGUUGGAUUUGUUGUUAGUUUAUUUAAGGUUUUAUUACAACAUGGAUAUUUUUUGCGCUUGGCAGACGAUUCCUAUGCAUUGUCUUCGGUGUCAGGUCAAAAG
RNAcentral lists this unclassified non-coding RNA (691 nucleotides) under Hevea brasiliensis (rubber tree). The record is from RNAcentral. Lineage: Eukaryota; Viridiplantae; Streptophyta; Magnoliopsida; Malpighiales; Euphorbiaceae.